CAUGCAAGUCGAACGAAGUGGCAAACGGGUGAGUAACACGUAAACAACCUGCCUUCAGGAUGGGGACAACAGACGGAAACGACUGCUAAUACCGAAUACCUGAAGAGGGGUUUGCGUCUGAUUAGGUAGUUGGUGAGGUAACGGCCCACCAAGCCGACGAUCAGUAGCCGGUCUGAGAGGAUGAACGGCCACACUGGAACUGAGACACGGUCCAGACUCCUACGGGAGGCAGCAGUGGGGAAUCUUCCGCAAUGGGCGAAAGCCUGACGGAGCAACGCCGCGUGAGUGAUGACGGCCUUCGGGUUGUAAAGCUCUGUGAUCGGGGACGCGGUACCCGAAUAGCAAGCCACGGCUAACUACGUGCCAGCAGCCGCGGUAAUACGUAGGUGGCAAGCGUUGUCCGGAAUUAUUGGGCGUAAAGCGCGCGCAGGCGGUUCUUAAGUCCAUCUUAAAAGUGCGGGGCUUAACCCCGUGAUGGGAUGGAAACUGUGAGCUGGAGUAUCGGAGAGGAAAGUGGAAUUCCUAGUGUAGCGGUGAAAUGCGUAGAGAUUAGGAAGAACACCGGUGGC
Molecule: ribosomal RNA, 569 nt
Filed under: uncultured bacterium
Lineage: Bacteria
Description: bacterial SSU rRNA
Rfam family: Bacterial small subunit ribosomal RNA
Source: RNAcentral